This 465-nucleotide ribosomal RNA is filed under the name uncultured bacterium. Its description in RNAcentral is "bacterial SSU rRNA". It matches the Rfam family "Bacterial small subunit ribosomal RNA", at positions 331 to 793 of the family's 1533-position model. The record is from RNAcentral.
CCAGACUCCUACGGGAGGCAGCAGUGAGGACUCUUUUUCAAUGGGCUGUCGCCUGAACCCGCCCCGUCGCGUGCUGUCCGACGGUCCUAUUGCUUGUAAACCUCUUUAGGCGGGGAGCCAUGCCGGGCCCGCGUGCCCGGAGGGAGAGUACCCGCAGAAUAAGCAUCGGCUACAUCCGUGCCAGCAGCCGCGGUAAUACGGAGGAUGCGAGCGUUAUCCGGAUUUAUUGGGUUUAAAGGGUGCUGAGGCGGAUUUGGAAGUCAGCGGUAAAAUGUCCGGGCUCAACCCGGGCCGGCCGUUGAAACUGGGGAUCUUGAGUGGGCGAGAAGUAUGCGGAAUGCGUGGUGUAGCGGUGAAAUGCAUAGAUAUCACGCAGAACUCCGAUUGCGAAGGCAGCAUACCGGCGCCCGACUGACGCUGAGGCACGAAAGCGUGGGGAUCGCACAGGAUUAGAUACCCCUGUAU